Molecule: ribosomal RNA, 274 nt
Filed under: uncultured bacterium
Lineage: Bacteria
Description: partial 16S ribosomal RNA
Rfam family: Bacterial small subunit ribosomal RNA
Source: RNAcentral
AUACGGAGGGUGCAAGCGUUAUCCGGAAUCAUUGGGUUUAAAGGGUCCGUAGGCGGGCCAAUAAGUCAGGGGUGAAAUCCCACAGCUUAACUGUGGAACUGCCCUUGAUACUGUUGGUCUUGAGUUACAGUGAAGUGGUUAGAAUGUGUAGUGUAGCGGUGAAAUGCAUAGAGAUUACACAGAACACCGAUUGCGAAGGCAGAUCACUAACUGUAUACUGACGCUAAUGGACGAAAGCGUGGGGAGCGAACAGGAUUAGAAACCCUAGUAGUCC